Molecule: ribosomal RNA, 180 nt
Filed under: uncultured bacterium
Lineage: Bacteria
Description: partial 16S ribosomal RNA
Rfam family: Bacterial small subunit ribosomal RNA
Source: RNAcentral
GAUUACUCCUACGGGAGGCAGCAGUAGGGAAUAUUGCACAAUGGGCGAAAGCCUGAUGCAGCAACGCCGCGUGUGCGAAGAAGGCCUUCGGGUCGUAAAGCACUUUUCUGGGAGAUGAGAAAGGACAGUAUCCCAGGAAUAAGUCUCGGCUAACUACGUGCCAGCAGCCGCGGUAAUAAU